Paramuricea clavata is the source of this 628-nucleotide non-coding RNA. Lineage: Eukaryota; Metazoa; Cnidaria; Anthozoa; Malacalcyonacea; Plexauridae. The record is from the annotation of a GenBank genome assembly.
AUAACUGGAACGCCACGUUGACGCGGAAGUUUGAAGCUAAAUUAUACAAGGUCGUACACAGGCUUUAAAAGGCCCGUUUUGAAAUAAAAGGCCCGUUUCCCUUUCGAUUCACAUAUUGCAAUGAAAACUUUCAAAACGGCAUGCUUCGAUCGCCCCCUGCAUUGUUUCGCGAGUAAAUCGCGCAGUAGAAACACGCGUGGAAGUGCGUGUCUGGGAGUCAAAACUGGCUUCAUUUGGCUUCAUAGGAGUCAAAUUUUGGCUUCAAAAUUUGCAUGCGCAGUUUACUGAACGUAGCGUUCCAGUUAUUUUUAGUUCAAUGGUAAUUCUAUACACCACGCACCAUAGAUCUCUUACUUCAUGUUAGUAUAAGUAUAUUGCAUCAGAAUUUUGGACGUCACCUGGAUACUUCGACGACAAGCGCAUGCGCAUUACGUGGUACCUUGGCAUCAGAUAAGGCAGGGCUCAUCCCACAAUCCGUGUCCAUUGUUUUGCAUUCGUCGUUACGAGCAAAAUCCAAAGUACGUUUUGCUGGACUGUGUCGUGUCGUGCCAUUGGGUAGUCUGUUCGGUUUCCAGACAUCUUCAAAUCCAAAUUUCGCUUCGGCAUCGCCGUUUACGCGUAAUGGACU